Molecule: ribosomal RNA, 253 nt
Filed under: uncultured bacterium
Lineage: Bacteria
Description: partial 16S ribosomal RNA
Rfam family: Bacterial small subunit ribosomal RNA
Source: RNAcentral
UACGUAGGGGCCGAGCGUUGUCCGGAUUCAUUGGGCGUAAAGAGCUCGUAGGCGGCUGCUCAAGUCGAAUGUGAAAACUCGAGGCUCAACCUCGAGCCUGCAUUCGAUACUGGGCGGCUAGAGUCUGGUAGGGGGAUCUGGAAUUCCUGGUGUAGCGGUGGAAUGCGCAGAUAUCAGGAGGAACACCAGUGGCGAAGGCGGGAUCCUGGGCCAGUACUGACGCUGAGGAGCGAAAGCGUGGGGAGCAAACAGG